Molecule: non-coding RNA, 264 nt
Organism: Pelobates cultripes (western spadefoot toad)
Lineage: Eukaryota; Metazoa; Chordata; Amphibia; Anura; Pelobatidae
Source: the annotation of a GenBank genome assembly
GUGAGGGGGUGACUAGUGACAGAGUGAGGGAAGGAAGGGGUGACUAGUGACAGAGUGAGGAAGGGGGUGACACAGUGACAGAGUGAGGGAGGGGGUGACACAGUGACAGAGUGAAGGAGGUGGUGACUGUCACUAGUCACCCCAUCCCUCCCUCUGUCACUAAUCACCACCUCCCUCACUCUGUCACUAGUCAUCCCUUCCCUCUCUCACUCUGUCACUAGUCACCCCCUCCCUCUCUCUGUCACUAGUCACACCCUCCCUCAC